Molecule: long non-coding RNA, 222 nt
Filed under: Elaeis guineensis (African oil palm)
Lineage: Eukaryota; Viridiplantae; Streptophyta; Magnoliopsida; Arecales; Arecaceae
Description: long non-coding RNA (EGUI_LNC020743)
Source: RNAcentral
GGGUUAUCUCCUUUUCCAUAGAUCUUCCAAAAAAAAAAAAAGAAUGAAAUGAAGAAGAAAAUGAAGCGAAAAGCAAAAAAGAAAAAUAGUCUACAUGGGAAGAAGCCUUACCUAUGGCCGAAUAGGGAAACUUAAGCGGGUAGGAGGUCGGAGCGACGAAAUAGGAAAGCAGGAAGCUUACAAUGGCUAGGGUUUUGGGUCAAUGGGUCUCAGUGGCUGAAU